Scatophagus argus is the source of this 932-nucleotide long non-coding RNA. RefSeq lists it as uncharacterized. NCBI's taxonomy places the organism in Eukaryota, Metazoa, Chordata, Actinopteri, Scatophagidae. The transcript has 4 exons. The record is from RefSeq and is a predicted model, not a curated record.
CACUUUAUUACAGCAUGUGGUGAUGUGAAAGUGACCUACUGGACAGCCAGUCUCGCUUUCUCUUUCUGCUGAAAGAGAACUCACCGUCCAGCUCCUUUCCAUUUGUCUUUCCAACGCGAGAACCACAUUUGGUUAUCUACUGAUGGAGAUAAGGCUGCAGCUGAAGACAGGAUGCAGAGCUGACCCAGAACGGGCGCCUGAAUGCGCUCGCUGCCUUUGUUUGGUGUUUGCUUUGUGCAGAUGAGGCCGCUUGAUAGCCAACGCUGGCGCCAUUUAACUAUUAAUACCAAGCAGACUAAGCAAAUCUGCACAGGCCUCAGCUGGGACGGUAAAGACGACCUUGUGCUGAGUGAUGCUCCGUACACAAACAUGACUGAUCUUAGAGCCUCAAACACAACUCCAUCAGCUGACUGAGGAGCAGACAAACCAAAGUUUAUUGUCUUCUCUGCGUGGCAUGUGAUUUCCUCCCCGAUGGUCUGCCAGCCUGUUCGAGCCCCAGCCGCUCCUACCAGCAAGGCAAGGAAACUCCCUUUAAGAAGGGCUCGCUGCUGAGGUUUUCACUGGAGAGCCUCCCAGAACAACACACUGAUGCUUGGGUGGUAACCUCCACAUUACAUCAGGGACCUGGUGAACCAAGCCUCAGCAGGCUGGCUUCUGUAGCCAUGAAGGACGAGUCUGCGACGGUUAGCAUACAGGUGAUGUGGAUUUUACUGCAAAGAUGGUGCUUUGUUUUCACUUCAUUGUCCAGUCCGACUUUGUGUCCUGGACUGUAGCAGCAGCAAUGUUUGUGAAGAAGAAAUAAGUUUUUUCUGUCUCAAGGGUUUUGACAUUUCUGUGACCUUUCCAGGACGUUUUUCUGCCUUUACACGAAGGUGAUGUGACUGUUUUUGAUCUCAUCAACGUGAUCCUGACCUGUCAGUGAGAUCAAUACC